UAGAAAACACGAAAAGACCAAUGGAGCAUAAUUUACAACAAAUCCUUUUAUCGAUAAUAAAACCUUUACCAUUCACUUACCCGGUGAAAUUCAUAAGACAAUAUACGAAAACAAUGACAUCAUUAUCAUCAUGAAAACAUAUAUAUGAACUGUAUAACAUAAUACCUAUCACACUUCUCGUAAUUCAAUCGUUAACAACAUAUUUUCCUAAUUCACCAGCCCACUAGUAUCCAUGGGGAUCCAUAGGGGUCCCGCUACCCGUUAAUCCUUAACACUUGAAAUCAUAUUCCAGGGCCGACCCCAUACCCCGUCCGGUAUGGGCGUCAGAUCAUAAACCUCAUUACCCCGUCCGGUAUGAGGGUGAAACGGGCCGUCCCCAUACCCCGUCCGGUAUGGGCGCCAAAACACAUAAGAUCUCCAUACCCCGUCCGGUAUGGGAGACCACAAUCCCGGUAGGGUUCCCUACGGACCCGGUCCGUCCACCAUCUCCCAGGAUAUCUAGUCAGGCUGAACACAUUAUACAAUUUCCAUUCACAUAAUCUUUCAUUCUCCUUUUUCCCUCAGUCAGCAUUAUCAAUCACAUACAAACAAGCAAAACGAUAAUUUAUGCCAAACAGAUAACAUACAGCAUCAAUAUCCCGGUCAUUCAAUCCAUAAUCAAUAAAACAGUAAAAUAUGCACACGAAACUAUAAAAUAAAAACAUCGAACCUCAUGCUGCAUUUAAAACUGUAAAACAGGCCAAAUAACAGUUAACCGACAAACACACUAGACUCGGGCUCCAUUAGCGACCUUAAGCAAUUUCACACAUUCGUUGAUUCAUGAAAUACCGUUUUAUCAUUUAUUGAACUUUAAAACCGUGAUAGGAAAUAGGGUGAGGGGUCCUUACUCGUUUCGGGGUCCGAACACGGCUUCACAGUGCACUUGCAGGCUGUCCCUAAUUUUCCCUGAAUUUUCCUCGGAGAACUGAAAUGCACUACUGGUACCUGCACGUGUUCCAAAAAAAUCCCAAAUUAGGCCCAGGGCUCCUUUUUGGCCAAUAUCGCAAUUCCGGCACGGCGGCUCCCCAGUGCUCCGGUGGCGGCGAUUCGCCUUGGGUUGGCCGUUUUCGGCUGUUUCCGGCCGAAUUCGGCCACACUUGCAUCGGUUCCUGCGAUAAGACAACCCUAGGGCCCUCGAGGAGCCAAAAAAAUUACGAAAAACUGAAGCUUACCGACGGCGGUGCUCUCGGGUGCGACGGCUCUCCGGUGAGGUUCGUGCUUUGGUGAUUUGGCUCCGAUCAAUUGUGCAAUGAAGGUUGGGUCUCGGUGAUGAUAAGCUGCAAUGUAUAUGAUUGCCGCUCGGAAAUUAAGGACAGCAGAGAGAGAGCUUCUUCUGUGACAGAGAUGGCCUGAGCUGCUUGGAGUCGCGCUGAAGAAAAUACAGAGAUGGGUGAUAUUUGUGUUUAUGUCAAUAAGUAAAGGCCAGUAAUUGGUUCUGCGAGUAGAAGGAAAAUAAAGAAUGAGAAGAACAAUUUGAGGGGAUUUUUUUUCUAAGUAUUUUGCGAAGAGUCCAUGGAGAAGAUGAGCUCUCUCUCUCUUCUCGGCCUCCUCUCUCUCUCUACGCCCCUUUUGCCUCAAGGAUUCCUCCUUUCUCUGUUUUCGAGUUUCGUUCUUUAUAGUGGAGCGAAGCUGUUUAGAUCAGCAUCCCCGCACUGAAGAUUCUCCAAAAAUCACGAAAACCCAUCUCUUCCCGCUCGCGACGUGCACGUCCUUCCUUCCUUCUUCUUCUCCCGUUUUCUGUGCCACUACGCUGCUUAUAGUGGAGCGGUACAUGUCUUUGCUUCCUUCUUCUUCUUUCGUUCUCUGCGCCACCAUGCUCUUUUCCUUUUUUUUUUUUUUUUUUUGGGCUGGAUAAAUAAUUAAUGAGGUAAUUACAAAAAUGCCAUGUUCUGGGCGUUACAACUCUCCUCCCCUUAAAGAAAUUUGGUCCCCCAUAUUUGCCUCUUACUCUUGAUCGAACAGAUGGGGAUACUGGGCUUUAAAUUCUGAUUCCAGUUCCCAAGUAGCCUCCCUGGGCGUGUGGUCCUGCCACACGACCUUUACAAAUGAUAUUUUUCAGUUGCGGAGUAUUCUGCUCUCUCGGCUCGUGAUACCGACCGGUACUUCUUCAUAAGACAAGUCUUCUUGGAGUGGAAGCGGUUCAUGAGUCAAGACAUGAGAAGGAUCCGGGUUAUACUUACGUAGCAUAGAUACGUGAAACACAUUAUGAACCCGAGAGAGCUCAGGAGGCAGUGCAAGUCUGUAGGCAGUGGUACCAAUCUUGUCUAAGAUUUCAAAGGGUCCAAUAUAUCUGGGAUUUAAUUUUCCCCUCCUGCCGAACCUACUAAUUCCCUUGAAGGGGGUGACUUUAAGAAACACCCGGUCGCCUUUCUCAAAGGCCAGGUCUCUCCUCCGAGUAUCAGCAUAACUCUUCUGCCUACUCUGAGCUGUCUGGAUGUUCUUCUUGAUCUUAACUAUCUUGGACGUGGUUUCUUCUACCAAAUCCGGGCCAAACAAUCUUCUAUCGCCCACUUCUUCCCAACAGAUCGGCGACCUGCACGGACGCCCGUAUAGCGCCUCGUAUGGGGCCAUGCCGAUGCUUGCUUGGUAACUGUUGUUGUAAGCAAACUCUAUCAGGGGUAGGUGGUCGUCCCAAUGGCCCCCGGAGUCAAGGACACAAGCUCGGAGCAUAUCCUCCAGCGUACGAAUUGUCCUCUCUGAUUGUCCAUCGGUUUGGGGGUGGAAAGCAGUACUAAGAGACAGCUUUGUUCCCAUAGCUUGCUGGAAACUAUUCCAAACCCGAGAAGUGAAUCUGGGAUCCCUGUCGGAUACCACUGUUACUGGAACUCCAUGCAGUCUGACUACCUCCCGGAUAUACAUUCUUGCUAACUUGUCCAAAGGAUCAGUCAUUCUGAUGGCCAGGAAGUGGGAAGACUUAGUGAGUCGGUCAACAAUUACCCAUAUAGCAUCAUGUCCCGAUCGUGCCUUGGGUAGCCCCGAUACGAAGUCCAUGGUGAUGUGUUCCCACUUCCACUCUGGAAUCGGUAAAGGCUGAAGUAACCCGCCCGGGCGUUGAUGUUCUGCUUUGACCUGCUGACAAACCAAGCACUUAGACACAAAGUCAGCUAUAUCUCUCUUCAUCCCAUUCCACCAGAACCGAGGUCGCAUAGUUUGGUACAUUUUCGUACUUCCUGGAUGCAUGGCGAACCUUGAGCUAUGGGACUCUGUCAUGAUGUCUCUUCUUAACUCACUGUCAUCUGGGACACACACUCUGUCCCUGAAACGAAUCAAUCCAUCGGCGGAGAUCUGAAAUUCUGAGCUCACUCCCUGUUCUACACUCUUCUUGCGGGUUACCAGGGCGGGGUCGACUGACUGGGCUUCCUUUAUUCUUUGGAUUAACUCGGGUUGGACUGCUAGGUGGCCCAAACAUGUGACUCUCUUCAGGUCUCGCAGGCGAACCUGCUGUGUAGCCCUAAUGGACCUACAUUCUGAAACCAUCAGAUGGGCCAGGGUGCCUGCACUUUUCCUGCUGAGGGCAUCGGCCACCACGUUGCCCUUACCUGGAUGGUAUAGGAUGUCACAAUCAUAGUCCUUGAGGAGUUCCAUCCACCUUCUCUGACGCAUGUUGAGAUCCUUCUGGGUGAAGAUAUGCUUCAAACUCUUAUGAUCAGUGAAGAUCUGAAAGGUCUCUCCAUACAAAUAAUGGCGCCAGGUUUUCAAGGCAUGUAUGAUGGCGGCAAGCUCCAAGUCAUGGGUAGGAUAGUUCUUCUCAUGAUUCUUUAGCUGUCUAGACCCAUAUGCUAUAACCUUUCCAUGCUGCAUUAGGACACAACCCAGACCCAGAUAGGAGGCAUCACUAUAAACUGUGUACCCUCCUGAUCCACUCGGUAGAGCCAGCACUGGUGCAGUAGUCAGUCGCUUCUUCAACUCUAAAAAACUCCUCUCGCAGUUCUCAUUCCAUUCAAACCUUGCAUUCUUCUUUGUGAGUCGGGUUAGAGGAGCUGCUAGACUAGAGAACCCUUCGACAAACCGGCGGUAAUAACCUGCCAUCCCUAGGAAACUGCGAAUUUCCUUAACUGUUGUCAGCCUUUCCCAACCAAGUACCGCUUCAACCUUUUCGGGGUUCACCGACACUCCUUCCUUCGAUAUAACAUGUCCUAGGAAGGCGGUUUGUUCGAGCUAAAAUCCACACUUGCUCAACUUCGCAUACAACUUAUUUUCCCUGAGUACCUGUAGGACUUGGGCAAGAUGAUGAACAUGUUUUUCCCUACUUUUUGAGUAAACUAAGAUAUCAUCGAUGAACACGAUGACAAAUUGGUCCAAGAAUUCUUUGAAGAUUCUGUUCAUUAGAUCCAUAAAGAUGGCCGGGGCGUUGGUUAGCCCAAACGGCAUAACCAAGAACUCAUAGUGUUCGUACCUGGUUCGGAAUGCCGUCUUGGGGAUGUCUUCUGCUCUCACUUUUACAUGAUGGUAACCUGAUCGUAGAUCUAUUUUAGAAAAGACCUGUGCACCCUGCAACUGAUCGAAAAGGUCAUCAAUCCGGGGAAGAGGGUACUUGUUCUUAAUUGUUACCUUGUUUAUCCUUUUAUAAUCAAUGCACAGUCUCAACGUUCCAUCCCCUUUCUUUGCAAAAGUAACCCCGGCACCCCAUGGGGAAAUGCUGUGUCUAAUGAAGCCACUGUUUUGUAGCUCAGUGAUUUGUUUCCUUAGCUCUUCCAUCUCGAUGCGGCUCAUUCGGUAAGGAGCUACCGAGAUGGGCUGGGUUCCUGGCUGUAAGUCUAUGGUGAACUCGACCUCUCUAUCCCCUGAUAGACCGGGCAGUUCAUCCGGAAAUACGUCUGGAAAGUCUCGGACUACUGGAAUCUCUUGGAUACAAACUUCUUUCUUGGGUUUACCUAGUUAGGGAAAAAUACAAUAUUAAGGCACUGGGAAUUAAGAAGAAAAGAGUUUGUCAUUAGGGAAAAUCAGUACCGAAUAAUUUUAUUAACUUGUGAAUGGCUCCUCGUUGGGAGGAUUAAAUACAAUCUUUUUAUUAAAGCAGUCUAUGGUGGCGUGAUACGCCACUAGCCAAUCCAUUCCUAGGAUUACAUCAAAAUCCCCUGUGUCUAACCCUAUCAGGUCUACCCUCAAUUUCCUAUCUGCUAUCUCCACGGCACAUGCCCUGUAGACAACCUCUCCUAGCAAUGUCUCCCCCCCAGCGGUAGAUACAAGCAAUAAUGAAUCAAGUCUAUCAGGUGAUACACAAAUUUUGGAAGCAAGAACAUGUGAAAUAAAAGAAUGUGAUGCACUAGUAUCAAACAAAAUAUGAGCAAUGUGGCCAGAGAUAGUAUACAUACCAUGUACCACGUCCGGGUCUGCGUCGGCAUCCUUCUGGGUAAGGUUGUAAACUCUGCCCUGGAUUGGAGGCCUCCCUUGAUUCUGGUUUCUAGGGCAUUCCCUCGCAUAGUGCUGGGCACUGCCGCAUAUGCGACAGGUGUUGUUGAGGCGGUAGCAGGGUCGGUCCCCAUGAUCCCUGCCGCAGUACUGGCAGAUCGUCCCACGUGCUGCCCCCAUAGCCUGAGGAGGGGCCUGAACGGCAGGCCUGGGCCUCUUACUGGGUUGGACAGGCAUGGUAGGCGCUGGCCUGCGGAGCGGGGCUGAGGGUCGGGAACUUCCCGCUAGCUGAGGGCGGGUGUCGAAGCUCCUUUCUAUGAUCUGCGCCUUUGCCAGGACUGCCGAAUAUGUCUCGAGCUCCAUCACCAAUAAGUGCUGUCUGAUCGCCGGGCGGAGGCCCCACUGGAAUUUCCUGGCCUUUCAGCCCUCAUCCAACAAUGUCUCCGGGGCAUGUCGGCCGAGCUCCAGGAACUUGCGGGCAUACUCCGACACUGUCAUAUUACCCUGGACCAAUUGAGCAAAUUCCAUUUCCUUUAAAUGUUGGAUGUGUUUAGGGAGAUACUCCGCAUGGAAGGCCGCUAGGAACUGCUCCCAAGUAACUGGUACAGGCAGGGUGGCCCGCUUGAGCUCCCACCAGCGUACUGCUUCCCCUACCAGCAUGUAGGAGGCAAUGGCAGCCCUCUGCUCAGGAACUACUCCCAAGGUCUCAAAAGCUCUCUCAGUCUCUGCCAGCCAGUAUUGGGCCUCCUCGAACGAGGAUCCCCCUAAAAAAGUAGAAGGGUUCAGUCUCCUGUACCUCUCUAUGAAGCCGGGGUCGAUCAAGGAGGGAGCGGGGUCCCGAGGUAGAGGGACUGGGGCCGGCUGAGGGUGAACUGGGGGACCCUGUGGUGGCGCCUGCUGAUGUGGUGGGGGCACUGGAAUGUGCUGUGGCGGCACCUGUUGGUACUGUGGCUGUGGUACCGGAUCGUACCGCGGCUGUGGUGCCGGGUGGUAUCGUGGAGGAACAGGCUCCUGCCGGGGUGGCUCGGGAUCAGCCUGCUGUAGCGGGGGCUCAACCUGCGCUAGCCGAGGAGGUCCCGGUAACUCCCUUCUCUCCUCUUGCCUUCGUUGGGCAGCUGCGAGAGCCUCCACCAUCUCGAAUAGUCUAUCUAAAUCCUCCCGAAUUGAAUUAUCUGGGGCCGCUCGGUUUAGUGGGGGCCUUCCUCUCCUCAUUUCUGUGUUCCUGCAUUCACAAGGAAUGAUUGAGUAACAAUAUAUCGGUGAAUAUUUCUCUAAGGCACAUUAGUGUAAGGGAUGGGUCUGAGAAAAUGCGGCUCUGAUACCAACUGUAGCGACCCCAGAAAUUUAAAAUGGAAAUUAAAUUAUAAAUAUCAAAUGCGGAAGUGAAGUCAAAGUUUGAAUAACAUCCCUUACACUGAAACCAAAACGUGCUCACAAAAUAUAGAAGAUUAAACUACCUAAAGGAGAAACUUGAAAGUAAAAACUACGAAUGUAACUAUGGAGUCUUUAGGCGUCCCCUUCGUCGUCCGCCUGCGGAACCGGCUCGGGAACGAUGUCCUCUUGAUCUGAAAUGAUUAAAUAAGGAAUGAACUACACUACCCCAGUAAAGACAUCACGAUAUCUCACCGUCACGGAGGUAAAGGUGGGUAGAAAACACGAAAAGACCAAUGGAGCAUAAUUUACAACAAAUCCUUUUAUCGAUAAUAAAACCUUUACCAUUCACUUACCCGGUGAAAUUCAUAAGACAAUAUACGAAAACAAUGACAUCAUUAUCAUCAUGAAAACAUAUAUAUGAACUGUAUAACAUAAUACCUAUCACACUUCUCGUAAUUCAAUCGUUAACAACAUAUUUUCCUAAUUCACCAGCCCACUAGUAUCCAUGGGGAUCCAUAGGGGUCCCGCUACCCGUUAAUCCUUAACACUUGAAAUCAUAUUCCAGGGCCGACCCCAUACCCCGUCCGGUAUGGGCGUCAGAUCAUAAACCUC
Molecule: long non-coding RNA, 7377 nt
Filed under: Carica papaya (papaya)
Lineage: Eukaryota; Viridiplantae; Streptophyta; Magnoliopsida; Brassicales; Caricaceae
Description: long non-coding RNA (CPAP_LNC003035)
Source: RNAcentral